GACGAACGCUGGCGGCACGCUUAACACAUGCAAGUCGAACGAGCGAUGAGAGCUUGCUCUCAAAGCGAGUGGCGGACGGGUGAGUAACACGUGAGCAACCUGCCUUUAAGAGGGGAAUAACGUUUGGAAACGAACGCUAAUACCGCAUAAUACAGAAGAUUCGCAUGUUUCUUCUGUCAAAGAUUUAUCGCUUAAAGAUGGGCUCGCGUCUGAUUAGCUGUUGGUGAGGUAACGGCCCACCAAGGCGACGAUCCAUAGCCGACCUGAGAGGAUGAACGGCCACACUGGAACUGAGACACGGUCCAGACUCCUACGGAGGCAGCAGUGGGGAAUCUUCCGCAAUGGGCGAAAGCCUGACGGAGCAACGCCGCGUGAGUGAUGACGGCCUC
Molecule: ribosomal RNA, 389 nt
Filed under: uncultured bacterium
Lineage: Bacteria
Description: bacterial SSU rRNA
Rfam family: Bacterial small subunit ribosomal RNA
Source: RNAcentral